RNAcentral lists this non-coding RNA (172 nucleotides) under Petrotoga olearia. Lineage: Bacteria; Thermotogati; Thermotogota; Thermotogae; Petrotogales; Petrotogaceae. The record is from RNAcentral.
UCCAUCGUGAGGUGGAAUCUGAAGGAAGCUGGCGGCAAACUUCUGGUCUGACGAACAGGAACUACAUCAGGCAUAUGUAUGCUGGGUGAGAUUGCAUAACAAAUCAAAGCCCUAAACUAUCCGGAAGCAUACGGUGUAAAUGUGGCAGAUAUAUGGAAGGAAAGAUUGCGUU